GGAACGCGCCAAUCUGCGCCAAUGCCUGUAUAGUUUCGGGAGGGGUGGCUCUUUAUUCCGUGGUUUAAUUGUUUGGCAUAUCGUUUCGACAGUGUUUCGUUGCUUGGGCUGUUUACGUAGCACACGGGGCAGUCAUGGAAUUUGAAUAUAGCGUAAUAAGCCAGCCACCUGUCGACGACAGCCCCACUUGCAUCCCAUUACCGUGUUACGGCCGUGGUCUUCCGCUAACUCCACUUGCAGAACUACCUAUAUACCAGUACCUGAAGAAACAGCACGAAGAAGAGCUGCUGCAGUCCGGGCGCGCUAAUGAAGUCCCCUCCGGCAUUGGACGAGGAAGGAUAUCGACGCUUUCCUCUGGCUUUUCAGUGGAGGAUUCAUCCGAUGCUGGGGAUAAUGACGUGGUUGGUUCAUAUUGGCGCAAUCAAGUGCCACUAAGGGUAUCCAGUUUGAAUGCUGGGUUGGAGCCUUUAAGCCCUGCUGCCCCAGGAUUAAAUGAAACAGUGUGUCGGCCACCUGGUUCAGCUCCGCCAAGUGCCCGAUGUCGUGGCCGAGGCACUCGUACUCCUGGAAAGCGGCCUACAUCAAAAGGUCCAGCUACUGCUAUUGGUGGCAGUGUCACUGCUUCCAGCACGUUGCCUCAGCUACCACCCAGCCUGCCCGUUGUGAGCGCCUCAUCACGAGUUUUGCAGUCUGCUCAGGACACAAAUAAUGCUACACGACAGCCAGGGCCAUCUCGUCCAUCAAGUGUCCCCUCCCGCAGUCGGGGAAUUGCAGAUCCUUGGAAGCUUCGAAUUCAACAAAUGGUUAAGCAACCAGGACGAUCGCAGCCUUCGAACUGUGGUACCAGGCCCCGCUGUCCUCGAGCCAUGUCUGGCCCACCACCAGCGUCUUCACAUCAGCUGGAAACUGCACUGUCUUCUCAGCAGCCACCACUGUCAAAGCCUCACCAAGAGCCUUCACUUCCGCCAAGGAAGUCCAUCCCAAGAGGUGCACCUGCUGCAGGUGCUGGCAGGCAAGAAAAAGGCCAGUCUCAGUGCAGUACACGCAGGCCCAUCAGGAAGGGCUCCUUCGAUCCAAACACUUUCAGCCAUGCAUUGGACCUCAGCUCAUGGGCAGAGUCUUUGUCAUCCAUGCAGCCUCGUAAACAGACCACUGAAUCGGGAACCGAGCUGACAGACAGUGAGGAUGAUAACUUCCACCGGCGGGUGCCACUUGAUCAGGAUUCUGUUUAUGAAUCCUGCUCCUCAUCAUCGGGAUCAAGUACAGAUCUGGUGUAUGAAAGUGCAGUGGAAGUAACGCCUUUGACUGCAACUCCGGUGUCUGGUGGGGCCACACCUGUCGCCGGUGCUGUGUCACCUGUCCUUGAUUCCUGCACUGUGCUUCCUGAUUCUGCCACUGUGGUCCCGGAUGCUGCUAUUGGAGUCCCUGAUGCUGUCAUUCCUGUCUCGAAAAUAGCCGCUACUGUCUCUGAAAAGCAAAAGCAAAAGCUGACUCCCUCAAAAGGAACCAAGGUCCUGAUUAGGGUUGUCCCUGAUGCUUCCAAUUCUGUACUGGAGAAGCCAAAGAAGAUUUCCUCAAGAGGAACUGAGGUCCUGAUCCAGGUUCUUCCUAAAGCUGUCCCUGACGCACUCACUGCUCCCUCUACAAUAGCUGCUGAAAAGGGUGCUUCCGCUUCUGCCCAUGAGGAGCAAGACAUGGCGUCCUUAAGAGGAACUCGGGUCCUGAUCAAGGGUCUGCCUAAAGCAACGACACGAGAGUUCGUGUACUACAACACGGCCUCCUUUGCUUCCAUUGAUGAUGUGAUCAUCGCUAGUGACGAAGAUGGAGCAUCGGCAGAAAUAAUUUUGACUAAGCCGUACAGUGCGACGAAGCUGUGCCAGUGUUUGCAGUCGGCAUUGACCCUUGAAGCUAUCCACAUUGUUUUGCUGUGGCAUAACUGAAGGAUUUCAAAGUGCAAAAAUAACCAAAGUAAUAUAUUUGCAGAAGUGCUGUCGCUCGAAUCGGCUCGAGUUUUCGUGCCUGAAACCAGCCUGAAACCAGCCUGAAAGCUGUCGGUCACAUUCAGAGACUCGCAGUGAACCACAGCGACACCAUCAUUGUGCAAUAUUCCAGGAAAAGUUUUUAUUAGAGCGCCAGAAAAUAU
This is an RNA transcript of Rhipicephalus sanguineus (brown dog tick), 2143 nucleotides long. RefSeq lists it as uncharacterized. The record is from RefSeq and is a predicted model, not a curated record. The transcript is spliced from 13 exons. Lineage: Eukaryota; Metazoa; Arthropoda; Arachnida; Ixodida; Ixodidae.